GAGCAACCUUCCUUCUCUCUCUCUCUCUCUCUCUCUCUCUCUCUCUCUCUGUCUCAAUUUAUCUUCACGGGGCGGGGGGAGAGAGAGAGAGAGAGAGAGAGAGAGAGAGAGAGAAUAUCUAAGAGA
This is a non-coding RNA of Podarcis lilfordi (Lilford's wall lizard), 126 nucleotides long. The record is from the annotation of a GenBank genome assembly. Lineage: Eukaryota; Metazoa; Chordata; Lepidosauria; Squamata; Lacertidae.